AUUGCCCCAGUAACGGCGAGUGAAGCGGCAAAAGCUCAAAUUUGAAAUCCUGCGGGAAUUGUAAUUUGAAGGUUUCGUGGUCUGAGUCGGCCGCGCCCAAGUCCAUUGGAACAUGGCGCCUGGGAGGGUGAGAGCCCCGUCCGGCGCACGCCGACUCUUUGCACCGCGGCUCCGACGAGUCGAGUUGUUUGGGAAUGCAGCUCUAAGUGGGUGGUAAAUUCCAUCUAAAGCUAAAUAUUGGCGAGAGACCGAUAGCGAACAAGUACAGUGAUGGAAAGAUGAAAAGCACUUUGAAAAGAGAGUGAAACAGCACGUGAAAUUGUUGAAAGGGAAGGGCUUGCAAGCAGACACGGUUUUACCGGGCCAGCGUCAAAUAAACGGGGGGGAAAAGGGGGAAAGAAUGUGGCGCGUGCCUUCGGGUUCGCGUGUUAUAGCUUUCUCUAAUACCCCCAUGUUUGUUUGAGGCCUGCGAUUCUAGGACGCUGGCGUAAUGGUUGCAAGCCGCCCGUCUUGA
Molecule: ribosomal RNA, 514 nt
Filed under: Clavispora lusitaniae
Lineage: Eukaryota; Fungi; Ascomycota; Pichiomycetes; Serinales; Metschnikowiaceae
Description: eukaryotic LSU rRNA
Rfam family: Eukaryotic large subunit ribosomal RNA
Source: RNAcentral